GACGAACGCUGGCGGCGUGCUUAACACAUGCAAGUCGAACGGAAAGGCCCUGCUUUUGUGGUGUGCUCGAGUGGCGAACGGGUGAGUAACACGUGAGUAACCUGCCCUUGACUUUGGGAUAACUUCAGGUAACUGGGGCUAAUACCGGAUAGGAGCUCCUGCUGCAUGGUGGGGGUUGGAAAGUUUCGGCGGUUGGGGAUGGACUCGCGGCUUAUCAGCUUGUUGGUGUGGUAGUGGCUUACCAAGGCUUUGACGGGUAGCCGGCCUGAGAGGGUGACCGGCCACGUUGGGACUGGGAUACGGCCCAGACUCCUACGGGAGGCAGCAGUGGGGAAUAUUGCACAAUGGGCGGAAGCCUGAUGCAGCAACGCCGCGUGCGGGAUGACGGCCUUCGGGUUGUAAACCGCUUUCGCCUGUGACGAAGCGUGAGUGACGGUAAUGGGUAAAGAAGCACCGGCUAACUACGUG
RNAcentral lists this ribosomal RNA (468 nucleotides) under uncultured bacterium. RNAcentral's name for it is "partial 16S ribosomal RNA". It matches the Rfam family "Bacterial small subunit ribosomal RNA", at positions 28 to 507 of the family's 1533-position model. The record is from RNAcentral.